RNAcentral lists this unclassified non-coding RNA (333 nucleotides) under uncultured fungus. RNAcentral's name for it is "partial contains 5.8S ribosomal RNA, internal transcribed spacer 2, and large subunit ribosomal RNA". The record is from RNAcentral. Lineage: Eukaryota; Fungi.
AACGCAUAUUGCGCUCGAGCCCUCGGGCAAGAGCAUGUCUGCCUCAGCGUCGGUUUACACCCUCACCCCUCCCACUUUGUUGGGUUAGUUGACAUCUUGUCAGCUCAGGGGUGGAUCUGGCUUCCCCAAUCUGCCGUAUGGUGGGUUGGGUUUGCUGAAGGAUAGAGGCUUAAGCAAGGACCCGAUACGGGCUUCAACUGGAUAGGUAGUACCGGCUUAUGCCGACUACACGAAGUUGUGGCUUGUGGAUCUUGCUAGGGGCCAGCAGGAACGUGCCUAUGGCAUGUCUAAACUUUCGACCUGAGCUCAGGCAAGGCUACCCGCUGAACUUAA